Molecule: ribosomal RNA, 584 nt
Filed under: Cibicidoides lobatulus
Lineage: Eukaryota; Foraminifera; Rotaliida; Anomalinidae
Description: bacterial SSU rRNA
Rfam family: Eukaryotic small subunit ribosomal RNA
Source: RNAcentral
GGGUCCGGACACACUGAGGAUUGACAGGCAAUAUUAAUACGUUUUGCUUCGGUAAACGCGUAUUAUGUUAAAUAUGCUAGUCCUUUCAUGAUUAUGUGAUAGGUGGUGCAUGGCCGUUCUUAGUUCGUGGAGUGAUCUGUCUGCUUAAUUGCGUUUCACUAAGGGCCUAUAAAUUUACGUGUGUUGCAUCGCACUUUGACCCCUUUCUUUAAUUAGAGAGCGCGUGUCUUAGUUUUCGCUUUGCUCAUACAAUUAGGUCCUGAAAGCAACGAACGUGACCGCAACCUCUUGUUGCCUUUAUACCAAACAUGUUUUGCGUCAAUUUUUACGAAUUGCGCGCAUUUCAUGAAAAAAGGCUUUUUAAACUAGAGGGACCGCUGUUACUUUCUUAAACCAGAGGAAGGUUGCGGCAAUAACAGGUCUGUGAUGCCCUUAGAUGUUCCGGGCUGCACACGUGCUACAAUGAUUAUUGCAGUGAGCAUCUCAUUUUUACACACCGCAUGCACGAGUCCAUUUAUUCACCUUCGGGUGUUUUAAGUGUGUAUCUCUGCGCGCGGUAAAGCCUGCUUCGACAGUAAGUGGGU